RNAcentral lists this long non-coding RNA (217 nucleotides) under Solanum tuberosum (potato). RNAcentral describes it as "long non-coding RNA (STUB_LNC000590)". Lineage: Eukaryota; Viridiplantae; Streptophyta; Magnoliopsida; Solanales; Solanaceae. The record is from RNAcentral.
AAGAAAAUACUAUGUAAAAAACUAUAAAACUAAAAGACCGUAUAAACCAAAGUAAAAACUAACAUAAUGUACUUGUUACUAUUGUGAAAAAGUAGGACAUAUAGCAAAAAAUUGCAAAUUACCUAAAAAUCUAAAGAAAAAACAAAUAUCAGAGAUACUAAUAGACGAUGAAAAAUAUAUACAAAUAGAGUAAAUAGAUUAUGAAUUGGAAAGCGAC